Molecule: long non-coding RNA, 326 nt
Organism: Cannabis sativa
Lineage: Eukaryota; Viridiplantae; Streptophyta; Magnoliopsida; Rosales; Cannabaceae
Exons: 3
Source: RefSeq, a predicted model, not a curated record
AGGCUUGGAUUGGAGAAAAGUUAAGGAGUUUGGGUGAUUUUGGUGCUUGGAGCUUAGAAAUUUGUGGAUUACCGGCACCUGAUCAGGAGCACCCAGGGAUUUGGAAUCUCUACUAUUGCGGGACAACAGGAAAGGGUAAGGCAUUAGCUGAUCAGCCAUGAGUUUCAGGAGCAGGGCGAAGAAUGUACAUGUUCAUGCCACUUCAGACCAAGCAGGUUAUGGGUCUAACAGUGUUGACUUUUGUAUUCUGUUUUGCCGCUUAGGUCGGCUAGUAAGAAAGAACUUGUAAUAAGUUUGUAAAUAUUUUUGGGAUCCCAAAUAUUUUG